RNAcentral lists this ribosomal RNA (532 nucleotides) under uncultured bacterium. RNAcentral describes it as "bacterial SSU rRNA". It matches the Rfam family "Bacterial small subunit ribosomal RNA", at positions 537 to 1069 of the family's 1533-position model. The record is from RNAcentral.
AGCGUUGUCCGGAUUAUUGGGCGUAAAGCGCGCGCAGGCGGAUUGGUCAGUCUGUCUUAAAAGUUCGGGGCUUAACCCCGUGAUGGGAUGGAAACUGCCAAUCUAGAGUAUCGGAGAGGAAAGUGGAAUUCCUAGUGUAGCGGUGAAAUGCGUAGAUAUUAGGAAGAACACCAGUGGCGAAGGCGACUUUCUGGACGAAAACUGACGCUGAGGCGCGAAAGCCAGGGGAGCGAACGGGAUUAGAUACCCCGGUAGUCCUGGCCGUAAACGAUGGGUACUAGGUGUAGGAGGUAUCGACCCCUUCUGUGCCGGAGUUAACGCAAUAAGUACCCCGCCUGGGGAGUACGACCGCAAGGUUGAAACUCAAAGGAAUUGACGGGGGCCCGCACAAGCGGUGGAGUAUGUGGUUUAAUUCGACGCAACGCGAAGAACCUUACCAGGUCUUGACAUUGAUGGACAGAACUAGAGAUAGUUCCUCUUCUUCGGAAGCCAGAAAACAGGUGGUGCACGGUUGUCGUCAGCUCGUGUCGUG